GGCCGGCUGGCUCAAUUGGUAGGGCACCUGACUACGGAUCAGGAGGUUGCAGGUUCGAGUCCUGCGUCGGUCA
Molecule: transfer RNA, 73 nt
Filed under: Rasamsonia emersonii
Lineage: Eukaryota; Fungi; Ascomycota; Eurotiomycetes; Eurotiales; Trichocomaceae
Also listed under: 1 other name
Description: tRNA-Arg
Rfam family: tRNA
About the family: Transfer RNA (tRNA) molecules are approximately 80 nucleotides in length. Their secondary structure includes four short double-helical elements and three loops (D, anti-codon, and T loops). Further hydrogen bonds mediate the characteristic L-shaped molecular structure. tRNAs have two regions of fundamental functional importance: the anti-codon, which is responsible for specific mRNA codon recognition, and the 3' end, to which the tRNAs corresponding amino acid is attached (by aminoacyl-tRNA synthetases). tRNAs cope with the degeneracy of the genetic code in two manners: having more than one tRNA (with a specific anti-codon) for a particular amino acid; and 'wobble' base-pairing, i.e. permitting non-standard base-pairing at the 3rd anti-codon position.
Source: RNAcentral